RNAcentral lists this long non-coding RNA (2357 nucleotides) under Mus pahari (shrew mouse). RNAcentral's name for it is "lncRNA (MGP_PahariEiJ_G0006444.1)". Lineage: Eukaryota; Metazoa; Chordata; Mammalia; Rodentia; Muridae. The record is from RNAcentral.
AGAAAUUGAGAGGGCAAGGUGUGUUUUGUGCACAUGCAGAGUCCGAGUAUGUGGGAGACAGAGGUGGGGGCAGAGGGCCGGAGCAUGACUCUACCUCAGAGCAGAAUCCUCCCUCAAGGAGCUCGGAGAAAAUGAAGAGAUUUCCCAGGCCCUCCAAGUGAGCGAGGCCCUUUCCCAGAGUGCUUUUUUCCACUCAGCAGAGGACACUUCUCAUAUCCAUGGUCUUCUUUCUGUGUGGGAUGAGGCUAAGGCCCUGGGCUAUGCUUGUCCAACAACCCACAACCAGGUCACACUUCACGGGUGGCUCCUUGGAGCCCCUUACAGGCUCUGUGUAGCAUGGAUUUUCACAUGUCCUUGAAGGGAUGUCUUUUCCCAGGAUGUGUCCUCAUGUGUGUACAGGGACUAAGAAGAUUGAUGGGCUUUCCCACACUUGCUGCAAGGACACCUGCUGCCCAGAUGGGCCUCUCCUCCCUGUGUAAUCUUAUGUGCUUCUGGAAAUACUGAAAGGGACCAAAGGCUUUGUGGCACAGCUCACACGUGUGAGGCUUCUCUCAGCCACGUAUCCUGACGUGCUCUUGAAGGGGAGACUGGGAAGUGAAGGCUUUCCCACCUUGCUGGCAUCUGUAGGGUCUCUCUCUGCUGUGUGUCCUCGUGUGGACGUUGAGGGAUGCUGAGAAGCUGAAGGUCCUCCCGAACUGUGCACAUGCUCGUGGCUUCACCCCGCUGUGCAUCUUCAGGUGUGUCUGGAAGUAGGCUUGGGAGUGGUAGGUUUUCACACACUGCUUAUAUAGUAAGGACUGGUUCCCAAAUGUGUCAUCCAGUGUGCCUUCGUGGACACAGAGUACCAGAAGGCUCUGCUCCACUCACGACACGCAUGUGGUUGUCUCAGGAUGAUGAGUGACAGCCGAAAGCUCUCCCACACACUUUACACUUGUGUGCCCUCAUGUGUCCUUUAAGACAGAAGUAGAAGCUAAAGGCUCCCCCACGUGAGUGAGUUACAUGCAUGACUUUGCUCUGUGACCUCUCGUGUGUCCCUUUAAGGAGGAGAAACAGGAAAAAGAGUCCACGUUUCAUACAUUCCAGGAUCUUUGUCCUGCUAGGACUCUGCACACUUUUCCAAGAUGCUUUCCCAGUGUCUUCACACUUGUUGGUGCUCUCCUCAACACCAGUCUCCACUCAAGGGCAUUAGCACAGCAGGCUCUCCCCACAGUCCUCACAAGGAUACAAUUUGUGAUCUUGUGAGGGGCAUUUUCUGGUUCUGAGAUUUGCCUGGGCUUUGUGUCAUCACUGGCUCCACCUACAGGACACAGUAGGACCCUCAGCCUGGCCAAAGCCACCUUCUUCACAGAGUCUGUCCAUAAAAGGACUGCAAUUCAAAGCAGGAAGAACAGUUAAGGAGUUAUUAGAGAUUACAAAUAGCUUCAAGUCAAUGUUCAGAAUUUUGUGUAAGACAGUGUCUUGUGCCAGGCAGUGGUGGCACAGCCAUUUGCCGUGCUUCACUCGUAUGAAGAGUGUUUUGAUGAAAAGGAGCAAGCUGACCAAGGAAAAAUAGAAAAUGCAUGGUUCAAGGAGAAAAGGAGCGCCAGGAAGUGGAGUUAAAUCCUGGGAGAAAAACAGACUAAAGACAUUAAAUAGAAUAAAGGGAGCGAUGACCUCAGGGCGAGAUCCCACCCAGAAGGCUUUCAUCUUGUGAAAAGGAAUUAAAGAACAACUGGGUCCAGGGACCUUUAAUCCUAGCAUUCCGGAGAUAAAGACUGCACGUGUCUGAGUCCAAGGCCAGCCUGGUCUACGAGCAAGAUCCGGGACAGCCAGGCUUAACCAGCGAAGGAAGCCAUGGAGAACAGAAAGCUACUGAAAAUGGGACUGAACACGGGACAUCUUCCACCUGUGAACCUAAACUUAGGUCAUCACUUUGGCCGCAAACACUGUAAUCCACUGAGCCCCACUCCAGGCUCAUUAUUUACUUAUUUGUAUGUAACAUCUGCAGAUGUUCUUUAUAACCUUUCGAUACCGACUGCCUGUGCGUCUGCGUUCCAGGUACAGAGUUGAUGCGCAUGGUUCCCAUGGAAACAGCACCGCGUCCCACCCCUCCCGUAGCCCUGCGGGGACCCGAACGUGUUGUCCUGCACUGAAGCUAAUGCUACCAUGUACCCUAACCCGAGGUCACGACCUCCCGCAGACACACAAAUCUUUAACCCUUCCCUGCCCUUCGACCUCAGUCCUCGACCUGAGAAUUGUUUUUUGGCUCUGGACACGUUGAACGAAUGAGGAAUUAUUUUGGGUCAAGAACGACAGCGACGAAGACCGAGGCGGCAGAGAAACAUAUUUACGUUCCUGGUUAUCCCACGGUCGAGCAU